Molecule: long non-coding RNA, 1674 nt
Filed under: Olea europaea (common olive)
Lineage: Eukaryota; Viridiplantae; Streptophyta; Magnoliopsida; Lamiales; Oleaceae
Description: long non-coding RNA (OEUR_LNC014464)
Source: RNAcentral
CUGAGCAUGCUGCCCAAUCCGCAUCACGGUACUCUUUGAGAGUUAAGUCAACACUUUUGGCAAAGAAGAGGCCUUGCCCUAGAAUGCCCUUAUAUACCGCAACACGUGAUAGGCUACCUCAAAAUGUGGCUGUUUUGAUGACUGAAGGAACUGACUUAAGACCUUCACAGCAUAUGACAGAUUAGGUCUCGUGAUUGUAAGGUAUAAGAGUUUUCCCACUAACCUCCUAUACAUGUUUGCAUCUACAAUAGCUUCACCAUCAUCUUUGCUUAACUUUAAAUUCUGUGGCAACGGUUUGGCACUAAGAUAACCUACGUCUGUCAAAAUUUCUAGUGCAUAUUUUCUUGACAAAUGGAUAUGCCAUUCGAACUCCUUGCUACCUCAGGUCCUAGGAAGAAUUUUAUAACUCCCAAGUCUUUCAAUUUAAAUUGCUCAUUCAAACCUUGUUUAAAUUGCUCAAUGUAGGUGUUAUCGUUCCUUCCAAUGAUAAUGCCAUCCACAUAUAUGAGAAGCACGGUGAAUGAACAGCCUUCUUGUUUACUGAAUAGGAAAUAAUCAAAUUUUGAUUGCUUGAAACCUUGUGAGAUGAUGUAAGAAGACAACUUGGUGUUCCACUGUCUUGACGCCUGCUUAAGGCCAUAAAUCGACUUAUUUAAUCUACAAACCAGCUUCUCACCGUUCGCACCCUGAUGUUCAUAACUAGGAGGCAUCAUCAUAUAAACUUCUUCCUCCAGCUCACCGUGAAGAAAGGCGUUUUUGAUGUCAAUCUGGUGGAGAUACCAUUGCCUCUAAGCAGCAAUAGCAAGUAAAGUCUUCACCGUAACUAACUUGGCAACUGGUGAAAACGUUUCUUCGUAAUCCAAACCAGCUUGUUGGGUAAAGCCCUUGGCUACAAGCUGGGCCUUUUUCAUCUCUUCAGUACCAUCUUAUUUAACUUUGAAAACCCAUUUGCAAGCUACAGGAGUUUUGUGGGGAGGAAGAGGAACAAUAGACCAGGUGUUAUUAGAGAAGUGCUUGAUACUUUGAAUCCAUAGCUUUGCACCAAUCUGGAUUUUUAGCAGCUUCAACAAAUGACUGAGGUUCAAGAACCGUAGAUAAGACCAGUGCAUAGUGUUUGUGGGAUGGUGACAGCCUACUAUAGUCUAAGUAAUCUGAGACGAGGUACUUUGGUCCAUAGGCAGAUCCAUUCGCCAUGGGAUUUGAUUGGGACGCAGCAGAAAUCUGAGAUACCAGAUUGCAAUGAGUUAUGAAGAUAAGAUGGAAUUUUCUUGGGUCUAUUUGAUCAUCGAGUGGAAGAAGGGGAUGAAGUGGAAGAUUUUUCAAAUUGAGAUUUAUCGGUUAUAAGUGAAAGGUGAGGUGGAGGAGCACUAUGUGGGGUAGAGGUUGAAGUAUGUUGAGCAAUAACAUGAGAAUAAGGAGCAUCUGAAGGAUGCUCUUUUGAGGAAUAGGAUUGUGAAAUGGCAGAAGUAUCAUAGGGAUUAAUAUCAGGAUGUGAGUGACAUGGGACUGGGAAAAAUGGCUGAUCAAAACAAGAAGACAUGUUGGAAGUGGAAGUAGAGUUGAUCAACAUAGGAUGAUGAUAGGAAAAAAUAUUCUCAUAAAAGUGUACAUCUCGGGAGGUGAACGUGGAAUGUGUUAGAAGAUUAUAAAGUUUGUAGGCCUUCAUGCCGUAAG